UGGCUUAUGAAACAGAAGCGAUAAUCUCACUUGAGAUCAGAUUAUCAUCAGCGAGGGUGGAGCAAUACAGUGAGCCGAGCAAUUUAGAAUAUCAGAGAGCCAAUCUAUAUCUACUUUCAAAAGUCCGACAACAAGCUCAAGUUCGGAUGGCAGCAUAUCGAUAAAGAAUAGCUCGGUAUUAUAAUGCAAAAGUUAAGCCGAAGAUCUUCUGUCAAGGAGAUCUAGUCCUAAGGAAAGCAGAAGUUUCAAGACCUCUGGAUCAGAAAAAGUUAUCUUCGAAUUGAGAAGAGCCUUACAAAAUAACUGAGACACUU
This 314-nucleotide long non-coding RNA is filed under the name Elaeis guineensis (African oil palm). Its description in RNAcentral is "long non-coding RNA (EGUI_LNC070584)". Lineage: Eukaryota; Viridiplantae; Streptophyta; Magnoliopsida; Arecales; Arecaceae. The record is from RNAcentral.